GUUUGAACCUGGCUCAGGCAAUGCGGCUGGAUCACCUCCUUAGAGUUUGAUCCUGGCUCAGGCAAUGCGCUUGGAUCACCUCCUUAGAGUUUGAUCCUGGCUCAGGCAAUGCGGAUGGAUCACCUCCUUAGAGUUUGAUCAUGGCUCAGAUUGAACGCUGGCGGAAUGCUUUACACAUGCAAGUCGAACGAUGAACCUUAGCUUGCUAGGGGGAUUAGUGGCGAACGGGUGAGUAAUAUAUCGGAACGUACCUUGUAAUGGGGGAUAACUAGUCGAAAGAUUAGCUAAUACCGCAUACGCCCUGAGGGGGAAAGUAGGGGAUCUUCGGACCUUACGUUAUAAGAGCGGCCGAUAUCUGAUUAGCUAGUUGGUGGGGUAAUGGCCUACCAAGGCGACGAUCAGUAGCUGGUCUGAGAGGACGACCAGCCACACUGGAACUGAGACACGGUCCAGACUCCUACGGGAGGCAGCAGUGGGGAAUUUUGGACAAUGGGCGCAAGCCUGAUCCAGCCAUUCCGCGUGAGUGAAGAAGGCCUUCGGGUUGUAAAGCUCUUUCGCAAGGGAAGAAAACUUACACAAUAACACUGUGUGAGGCUGACGGUACCUUGAUAAGAAGCACCGGCUAACUACGUGCCAGCAGCCGCGGUAAUACGUAGGGUGCGAGCGUUAAUCGGAAUUACUGGGCGUAAAGCGUGCGCAGGCGGUUUUGUAAGUCAGAUGUGAAAUCCCCGAGCUCAACUUGGGAACUGCGUUUGAAACUACAGACUAGAAUAUGUCAGAGGGGGGUAGAAUUCCACGUGUAGCAGUGAAAUGCGUAGAGAUGUGGAGGAAUACCAAUGGCGAAGGCAGCCCCUGGGAUAAUAUGACGCUCAUGCACGAAAGCGUGGGAGCAAACAGGAUUAGAUACCUGGUAGUCACGCCUAAACGAUGUCUACUAGUUGUUGGUGGAGUAAAAUCCAUGAGUAACGCAGCUAACGCGUGAAGUAGACCGCCUGGGGAGUACGGUCGCAAGAUUAAAACUCAAAGGAAUUGACGGGGGCCCGCACAAGCGGUGGAUUAUGUGGAUUAAUUCGAUGCAACGCGAAAAACCUUACCUGGCCUUGACAUGCCACUAACGAAGCAGAGAUGCAUUAGGUGCUCGAAAGAGAAAGUGGACACAGGUGCUGCAUGGCUGUCGUCAGCUCGUGUCGUGAGAUGUUGGGUUAAGUCCCGCAACGAGCGCAACCCUUGCCAUUAAUUGCCAUCAUUUAGUUGGGCACUUUAAUGGGACUGCCGGUGACAAACCGGAGGAAGGUGGGGAUGACGUCAAGUCCUCAUGGCCCUUACGCGCUGGGCUACACACGUGCUACAAUGGCAACUACAGUGGGCUGCAAUCCCGCGAGGGUGAGCUAAUCUCCAAAAGUUGUCUCAGUUCGGAUUGUUCUCUGCAACUCGAGAGCAUGAAGGCGGAAUCGCUAGUAAUCGCGGAUCAGCAUGCCGCGGUGAAUACGUUCCCAGGCCUUGUACACACCGCCCGUCACACCAUGGGAGUUGGUUUCACCCGAAGGCAGCGCGCUAACCGCAAGGAGGCAGCUGACCACGGUGGGAUCAGCGACUGGGGUGAAGUCGUAACAAGGUAGCCGUAGGGGAACCUGCGAAUGGAUCACCUCCU
This 1651-nucleotide ribosomal RNA is filed under the name uncultured bacterium. RNAcentral describes it as "bacterial SSU rRNA". It matches the Rfam family "Bacterial small subunit ribosomal RNA". The record is from RNAcentral.